This 245-nucleotide long non-coding RNA is filed under the name Zonotrichia albicollis (white-throated sparrow). RNAcentral's name for it is "lncRNA (ENSZALG00000000516.1)". Lineage: Eukaryota; Metazoa; Chordata; Aves; Passeriformes; Passerellidae. The record is from RNAcentral.
UGCUCGCGGCCUUUCCCAUUUUUUUGGUUUAUUUUGGGAAGGGGGGGGAGGGGUCUCGCCUGAUUUUGGGAUUUUUUUUAGGGAUUAUUUUGGGGGUCUCCUUCUCUGUUUUUGGGGUUAUUUUCGGGGUCUCCUUCUCUGUUUUUGGGGUUCUUUUGGGGGUCUCCUCGCCUAUUUUUGGGAUUUUUUUUGAGAUUUUUUUGGGGGUCCUCUCGGCUAUUUUUGGGAUUUUUUUUUAGGGAUUA